RNAcentral lists this ribosomal RNA (209 nucleotides) under uncultured bacterium. Its description in RNAcentral is "partial 16S ribosomal RNA". It matches the Rfam family "Bacterial small subunit ribosomal RNA", at positions 135 to 334 of the family's 1533-position model. The record is from RNAcentral.
UGAUGGGGAUAACAGUUGGAAACGACUGCUAAUACCGAAUACGCUCAUGAUGAACUUUAUGAGGAAAGGUGGCCUCUGCUUGCAAGCUAUCGCAUAGAGAUGAGUCCGCGUCCCAUUAGCUAGUUGGUGGGGUAACGGCCUACCAAGGCAACGAUGGGUAGCCGAUCUGAGAGGAUGAUCGGCCACACUGGAACUGAAACACGGUCCAG